Molecule: ribosomal RNA, 372 nt
Filed under: Clostridium botulinum
Lineage: Bacteria; Bacillati; Bacillota; Clostridia; Eubacteriales; Clostridiaceae
Description: bacterial SSU rRNA
Rfam family: Bacterial small subunit ribosomal RNA
Source: RNAcentral
AGGUGGGGAUGACGUCAAAUCAUCAUGCCCCUUAUGUCCAGGGCUACACACGUGCUACAAUGGUAGGUACAAUAAGACGCAAGACCGUGAGGUGGAGCAAAACUUAUAAAACCUAUCUCAGUUCGGAUUGUAGGCUGCAACUCGCCUACAUGAAGCUGGAGUUGCUAGUAAUCGCGAAUCAGAAUGUCGCGGUGAAUACGUUCCCGGGCCUUGUACACACCGCCCGUCACACCAUGAGAGCUGGUAACACCCGAAGUCCGUGAGGUAACCGUAAGGAGCCAGCGGCCGAAGGUGGGAUUAGUGAUUGGGGUGAAGUCGUAACAAGGUAGCCGUAGGAGAACCUGCGGCUGGAUCACCUCCUUUCUAAGGAGA